UAGCGGUGUUGGUCUUUGGAAGCAAUCUUGAACCAAUUUUAAUCAAUGGGUUUUGAAUCUUAAGAACAUCCGUGCACACAGAAGACAGCAAUUGAGCCAUUUUUAAUUUAAUUUAAUUUUAAUUAUUCCUGCCGCUAAAUCGAUGCAUGCAAUUCCUCCUUUUUCGGAUAGCUAGAGACUGGAGAGCGGAGAGCUUGGAUUUUUAUUUUUUAAUUUU
RNAcentral lists this unclassified non-coding RNA (217 nucleotides) under Hevea brasiliensis (rubber tree). Lineage: Eukaryota; Viridiplantae; Streptophyta; Magnoliopsida; Malpighiales; Euphorbiaceae. The record is from RNAcentral.